UACGGGGGGGGCAAGCGUUGUUCGGAAUUACUGGGCGUAAAGGGCUCGUAGGUGGCCAACUAAGUCAGACGUGAAAUCCCUCGGCUUAACCGGGGAACUGCGUCUGAUACUGGACGGCUUGAGUUUGGGAGAGGGACGCGGAAUUCCAGGUGUAGCGGUGAAAUGCGCAGAUAUCAGGAGGAACACCGGUGGCGAAGGCGGUUCUCUGGGCCUUACCUGACGCUGAGGAGCGAAAGCAUGGGGAGCAAACAGG
Molecule: ribosomal RNA, 253 nt
Filed under: uncultured bacterium
Lineage: Bacteria
Description: partial 16S ribosomal RNA
Rfam family: Bacterial small subunit ribosomal RNA
Source: RNAcentral